This is a long non-coding RNA of Anolis carolinensis (green anole), 671 nucleotides long. RefSeq lists it as uncharacterized. The transcript is spliced from 2 exons. The record is from RefSeq and is a predicted model, not a curated record. Lineage: Eukaryota; Metazoa; Chordata; Lepidosauria; Squamata; Anolidae.
UCUCUGUCAGUCAAGGGCAAGAAGGAUGGCAGGGGCUGUGGAGAGUCGCAGGAGGACAUGGGGCGCGUCUACACCGUGCAGUUUGACACCACUUGGGCCCCUUCCACACAGCUGGAAUAUAUGGCAGUGUGGACUCAGAUAAUCCAGUUCAAAGCUGGUGUUGUGGGAUUAUCUGCCUUGAUAUUCGGGGAUAUAGUGCUGUGUGGAAGGGCCCUUUAACUGUCAUGCUAUGGAAUCAUAGGAGACGUGUGGAAGGGGCCUAAUUUUACAAUAUAAAACAGGCAUAAAACAGUUUCAGGACUGGAGAUAAUUUUAUCUUGAAAAGAUUAUUUCUAAUCUAUGCAAUCCUCUCCUCCAACAUGACUUUUAACCUCCUUCCAAGCGGACAAUCAAGUUUGACACCUACUAUUUGCUUAUAGGAAGACAAAACGGCAAGUCACUUCUUUUUUCUGAAAGAUAAGAUGUUUAUGGGGCAGUUUAAGAUAUCUGUACCUUUUUGCAAUUCCAAAUCAAAAUAUAUUUACACAAUACUUUCUUCCACUAAGAGGAAAUUUUAGAAAAAAAGGGUAGGAAUGUGUUCACUGGUCAGAUCUUGGGGCAUUCCUCCGUGCCCCAUAAUCACUGUCGGCAUAAUCUCUUUGUUUAUGGAGACAAAUAAACCUUUAGCCUAA